Molecule: transfer RNA, 75 nt
Filed under: Spiroplasma ixodetis
Lineage: Bacteria; Bacillati; Mycoplasmatota; Mollicutes; Entomoplasmatales; Spiroplasmataceae
Description: tRNA-Gln
Rfam family: tRNA
About the family: Transfer RNA (tRNA) molecules are approximately 80 nucleotides in length. Their secondary structure includes four short double-helical elements and three loops (D, anti-codon, and T loops). Further hydrogen bonds mediate the characteristic L-shaped molecular structure. tRNAs have two regions of fundamental functional importance: the anti-codon, which is responsible for specific mRNA codon recognition, and the 3' end, to which the tRNAs corresponding amino acid is attached (by aminoacyl-tRNA synthetases). tRNAs cope with the degeneracy of the genetic code in two manners: having more than one tRNA (with a specific anti-codon) for a particular amino acid; and 'wobble' base-pairing, i.e. permitting non-standard base-pairing at the 3rd anti-codon position.
Source: RNAcentral
UGAGGUGUAGCCAAGCGGUAAGGCAACGGCCUUUGACGCCGUCAUGCGUUGGUUCAAAUCCAACCACCUCAGCCA